GACGGGGGAUGCAAGUGUUAUCCGGAAUCACUGGGCGUAAAGCGUCUGUAGGUGGUUACAUAAGUCAACUGUUAAAUCUUGAGGCUUAACCUCAAAAUCGCAGUCGAAACUGUUUGACUAGAGUAUAGUAGGGGUAAAGGGAAUUUCCAGUGGAGCGGUGAAAUGCGUAGAUAUUGGAAAGAACACCGAUGGCGAAGGCACUUUACUGGGCUAUUACUAACACUGAGAGACGAAAGCUAGGGUAGCAAAUGGG
Molecule: ribosomal RNA, 253 nt
Filed under: uncultured bacterium
Lineage: Bacteria
Description: partial 16S ribosomal RNA
Rfam family: Bacterial small subunit ribosomal RNA
Source: RNAcentral